UACGGAAGGCAGCAGUGGGGAAUAUUGCACAAUGGGCGAAAGCCUGAUGCAGCUAUGCCGCGUGUAUGAAGAAGGCCUUAGGGUUGUAAAGUACUUUCAUCGGGGAGGAAAAACAAAACUAAUAAUUUUAUUUCUUGACGUUACCCGAAAAAGAAGCACCGGCUAACUCCGUGCCAGCAGCCGCGGUAAUACGGAGGGUGCUAGCGUUAAUCAGAAUUACUGGGCGUAAAGAGCACGUAGGUGGUUUUUUUAAGUCAGAUGUGAAAUCCCUGGGCUUAACCUAGGAACUGCAUUUUGAAACUGAAAUACUAGAGUAUCGUAGAGGGAGGUAGAAUUCUAGGUGUAGCGGUGAAAUGCGUAGAUAUCUAGAGGAAUACCUGUGGCGAAAGCGGCCUCCUAAACGAAUACUGACACUGAGGUGCGAAAGCGUGGGGAGCAAACAGGGAUUAGAUACC
Molecule: ribosomal RNA, 455 nt
Filed under: uncultured bacterium
Lineage: Bacteria
Description: bacterial SSU rRNA
Rfam family: Bacterial small subunit ribosomal RNA
Source: RNAcentral